RNAcentral lists this long non-coding RNA (498 nucleotides) under Struthio camelus australis. RNAcentral's name for it is "lncRNA (ENSSCUG00000005921.1)". The record is from RNAcentral. Lineage: Eukaryota; Metazoa; Chordata; Aves; Struthioniformes; Struthionidae.
GGGGGCGGCGCGGGCAGGGCCGGUGCUGGCCGCCGGCUGGUCGCCCAGGCCGCUGCCCGGGCCGCGCAGCGGGUACCUGAUGUCUGUGCGACGCUUUGCUGGGGAGCGCCAAGUUAGAGAGCUCUUCUCUGCCCUGGCCUGUUGCUGGUCCUCCCACAACUUAAUGAGAUGAGAAACAAGGUUUGCCUAUUGAACUUGGGCUCAAACUGACUGAGGGAAAUAGGAGCUGAAAUGAGCAGCGUUGCACACAGACCAGGAACAUGCAGGCAUGGAACGAGUUGCAAAUUGGCCUCUAUGGAUGCAGGAUGCAAACAGGCGGCAGUGGAAAAUGCCAGAGUGUUUGGGAGCUAGGCCAGGAGGUGGAUAGGUAUGCAGCUGGUCGUCUGUCUCACAGCUUUAGAGAACAUAGGUAAUUACUGCAUGCCAUACACCUUCCUGAUGAAAUGCUUUUUGGAAAAUCAAAGUUAUUUGUCUGGUUCCAAGUCAGAGACAGUGUCU